ACGAGAGGUUGAAUUAUUUGGUCAUUGAGGGAGACAGCUUGCAAGUGCUACAGUGACUCAGGUCAAAGGUUACAGGGACAGAGAGGACCGAAGAUGCCUAUGUUUGGGAAAAAAACACUCUUCCAGUGGUUUCGAUUUGCAUGGGAGAAGGAACCUGUGAUAGUUGCAGCCUGUGUGGUUGGACUACUCCCACCCCUUGGUGUAUUCUUCAUGCCUGAGAGUUGGAAAGACGAUGUCGCAAGAAGACAACGCAUGGUCACAACAAGAUAUCCAGUUCCAGUGAGGGACGAAGGUGAUGAGUAGCGAAGCGUAGUGAUGCCCCCUGGCUGCACAACAUCCGUACUGCACCUGUGACCUCACCAUGUGUUUACCACCUAUCAACAACAACAUAUUAUGAUGCUGUAUAUAAUACUGUAGCCUUGGUAGAAACAUUGCAGCUCUCUGUUAUUAGCAGGACUUUUAUUGCUCUGGUUCCUGAGUUUGCCAUCCUACUAGAAACUGUCAAACCUAAUGAGUGAAAAUUUAUUGUCCUCUUAAGAAAUGUAAUAAAGCAAGUAUUGAAAACUGA
Molecule: long non-coding RNA, 568 nt
Organism: Branchiostoma floridae (Florida lancelet)
Lineage: Eukaryota; Metazoa; Chordata; Leptocardii; Amphioxiformes; Branchiostomatidae
Exons: 4
Source: RefSeq, a predicted model, not a curated record